RNAcentral lists this ribosomal RNA (408 nucleotides) under uncultured bacterium. RNAcentral describes it as "partial 16S ribosomal RNA". It matches the Rfam family "Bacterial small subunit ribosomal RNA", at positions 28 to 526 of the family's 1533-position model. The record is from RNAcentral.
GACGAACGCUGGCGGCGUGCUUAACACAUGCAAGUCGAACGAAGUGGCGAACGGGUGAGUAACGCGUAAUCAACCUGCCCUUCAUAGGGGGACAACCGUUGGAAACGACUGCUAAUACCGCAUACUGACGACAGGGAUUGCGUCUGAUUAGCUAGUUGGAGGGGUAACGGCCCAACAAGGCGAUGAUCAGUAGCCGGUCUGAGAGGAUGAACCGCCACAUUGGGACUUAGACACGGCCCAGACUUCUACGGGAGGAAGCAGUGGGGAAUCUGCCGCAAUGGACGAAAGUCUGACGGAGCAACGCCGCGUGAGUGAUGACGGCCUUCGGGUUGUAAAGCUCUGUUAAUCGGGACGCGGUACCGGAAUAGAAAGCCACGGCUAACUACGUGCCAGCAGCCGCGGUAAUAC